Molecule: RNA transcript, 1573 nt
Organism: Myiozetetes cayanensis
Lineage: Eukaryota; Metazoa; Chordata; Aves; Passeriformes; Tyrannidae
Gene: RTN3
Gene name: reticulon 3
Exons: 5
Source: RefSeq, a predicted model, not a curated record
ACCAGCGAGAUGCUCUCCUGGGACCUGGUGGAGGGAACCGGGAACGGCCCCCUGGGCACCGGGAAUGAUGACCUGGGCACUGGGAACAGGCCCCUGGGCACCGGGAAUGAUGACCUGGGCAUUGGGAAUGAUGACCUGGGCACCAGGAACGGCCACAUGGGCACCAGGAAUGGUGACCUCGGGCACUGGGAAUGGUCACCUGGGCACCGGGAAUGGCGACCUGGGCAACGGGAAUGAUGAGCUGGUCACUGGGAAUGGUGACCUGGGCACUGGGAAUGGCGACCUGGGCAACGGGAAUGAUGAGCUGGUCACUGGGAAUGGUGACCUCGGCACCGGGAACGGCCACCUGGGUACCAGGAACGGCGACCUGGGCACUGGGAAUGGUCAUCUGGGCAUUGGCAACGGCACGGCCCGACCCGCCAGCGGCCAGCCUGGCACUGGCAGCGGUGACCUGGGCACUGGGAACGGCCACCCUGGCCCCAGCAGCGCUGGAAGCGGCACCAGGGAUGGCGAUGGGAAUGGCGGCGCCGGCGCUGGGAAAGGAGGCACCGGCACUGGGAAUGAUGGUGGUGGCGGUGGCCUCGGCACUGGCAAUGGUGGCCUCGGCUUUGGGAACGGCGUCCUGGGCACCAAGAGCGGCGACUCGGCACUGGGAACGGCGUCCUGGGCACUGGGAAUGGUGGCCUGGGCACCAAGAGUGGUGGCCCUGGUGCCAGUGUCCCCAGCACUGGUGGCCCUGGUGGCACUGGUGGCGGGAGCAGCAUGGUGGGGAACGGUGUCCCCGGUGUCCCCGGCGUUGGAAUUGGCGUCACCAGCACGGGCGGUGGCCUCACCGGUGUCCCCGGCAUCGGGAAUGGCUUCGCUGGAGGUGGCCCCGGUGGCCUCGGGGGCCCCGGGCUGGGCGUCCCCCCCGGUGCCGACGGCGACAGCUCCGGUGACUCCGACAGCACCGUCGUGGAGGAGGGGCCGGGAGAGGCCCCCCCAGAGCCCCCCCAGCCCCGUGGGGUCCCCCCCGCUGUCCCCAGCGAUGUCCCCAGCGAUGUCCCCAAGGGCGGCCCCGGGGACUGGGAGCAGGAGCGCCAGACCCUGCGGGCGCUGCAGGAACUGGGGGGGCCCCCCGAGAGCCCCCCGGCCGGGGCCCUCCCCCGCCUGGCAGUGCGGGAGCUGCUGUUCUGGCGGGACGUGCGGCGCAGCGCGGUGGCCUUCGGGGCCAGCCUGGUGCUGCUGCUGUCGCUGGCCACGCUCAGCGCCGUCACCGUGGUGGCCCACGUGGCGCUGGCCCUGCUCUGCGUCACCAUCAGCCUGCGCGUCUACAAGGCCGUGGUGCAGGCCCUGCAGAAGUCCGAGGAGGGGCACCCCUUCAGGGCGUACCUGGAGCUGGACGUGACGUUGUCCCCCGAGCGCUUCCAGGCCCAGGCGGCCGCCGUGGCCCUGCACGUGAACCGCGCGCUGCGGCUGCUGCUGCGCCUCUUCCUCGUCGAGGACCUGGUGGAUUCCCUGGAGCUGGCCCUGACCAUGUGGCUGCUGACCUACGUGGGCGCCGUCUUCAACGGCAUCACCCUCCUCAUCCUCG